CAGGUCUUCUGACAGCAGGGGCCAACAGCCAGUGCAGGCUUGGAGCAUUCUCUGCACGCAUCCCUGUAUCAUCCCUGUAUCAUCUCAGUUCUCAUUAGGAAGAAUAUUCAGGAUUGGGUGCAGUUUCUAAAAGAUAUCUUAUGAACAGCUAACUCUAUCUCCACUCUUUCCAAAUCCCCUCCAAGUAUUCAUGCUCUUCUCUCUUGUACAUUGGUGGUUUUCUUUGUAUCAGGGAGAUCUUCCCACACUCAUGAAAUGCUUUUGUUCUCUUGACAGUAUUUGUUGACAUGGAUGGAUUGGAUACAGAAAACGAUCAUGCACAUCUGAAUGUCCUGGAACAAUAUGAGGUCUUUUUAUUCAGUGUAUCAGAGAAAAGAAGAUGCAGCAGAACAUUGCUAUUACUGGACUCCAGCUGUGAACCCUCUGAGAGACUGUGUGAGGAAUGAAUGCCCCUCAGCUAAAAUUCUGGGAUGGCAGCAUGAGGAAUUGUACUGUAAAGUAUAUUUAAGGACAGAAAUCUAGUACACAUAAUGCUUUUGAACUCUGUAAGUAAGUGAUAAUGAAAAACAUACAACCCUUCCAGGCAAAGAAAAUCUAUUUGUGAUCCUUAUUUACCACUCCAAAAUCAAAUGAAGGGAUAAAAUACACCUAUAUAAAAACACACUGACAAGCUAUAACUACAUAAAUCAUUUCAGCAUAAUUUUUGAAGAUUCUGCAUGAGACCAGGAAUUAUAAAUAAGCAUGUGUUUAAUAGUCAAUGAUAUUUUUUGAUGUUAUUUUGAAAUGUCAGAUACGCCCAAUAGAUGCAGAAUGGAAAAACAUGAUAACAUCUGGUGUUGGAAGCAAUCAUUUUCUUGAAUACCACAAUCAACAUGCCUGAACACUCAGCAUUUCUAACCUGUCUUCACUGUUGAAACACUGAAAUAAUUCACAAAUAUGUAAUGUAAUUAUGUAUUAGCAACAUCCAAGUAUGUUUGCAGUUGUAUUUCCGUCACUGACAUGUAUAGAAGCAUUCAUCAAAAUCUGGCCCCAUGCAAGGUUCUAUUCAAAGAAAAGAGAAAAAAAUGCUAUCAACCUAAGUAAGACAAUAUGUAAUAAAGGCAUGAAGAGAAUACUGUGGCCUUUCUCA
RNAcentral lists this long non-coding RNA (1129 nucleotides) under Numida meleagris (helmeted guineafowl). Its description in RNAcentral is "lncRNA (ENSNMEG00000014779.1)". Lineage: Eukaryota; Metazoa; Chordata; Aves; Galliformes; Numididae. The record is from RNAcentral.